GAACGCAUAAAUCUUUCGCCUUUUACUAAAGAUUUCCGUGGAGAGAAACAACUCCGAGUUUCUCAUCAAUUUUUUGAGGCCUUGUUUUCACAAGGCUAAUAACUUUGUACAAAAAGUAGAGGAAUGUUCAGUACUUCUGUGUGUCUGGCGGGAGCGUUCCGCGUUCUGGAAAAACUGGUGGUAAUUAAAACCAUGGGAGUGGAUGAGGUACCACAGAAUCAAAAGGAAGAGAAGAGAAGACGACCUUGGAUUGAUUCCUAGGAGAAAAAGAAACCAACACUUAAGGGACUGGUGGAGGAAAAGGGAUGUGUGAAGGGCUGAGAAAUAGUUUCCAGAGAGAUAGGAGGAAGACAGGAAAGUGUGGGGUCUGGGAAGGAAGGGAUCAGAGUCCUCAGGGAGGAGGGUGGGAUCAGGAGGGUUUGUAGUUUGAGAGUUCAUGCCCAGUGAGGCUGAGAAGCAGCUCUGCAGGACCCAUGCCCAUUCAUUGGACAAAUAACAGAUUGGGUACGUGUCAGCUACAGUCAGCAACAGCGCUGACUGAAACUGCAGUAAACAAAACAGAUGCAAGGAGCGUGCCGACACUCGAUGGAAACUGGAGUGCAAGGGGAAGGAUUCCUCCAAUCCAAAGAGGAACCACGGAGCCCACAGCCUGUCAGCACGAGAAGAAAGCUCUGUGAUCACCUGUUUGAUAGAUGCAGAAACCCAGAACAAAGACUUGCCCAGGGAAUUGCAGUGAAUGGGAGAUAGAGCUGUAGCAGCAGGCUUCGUUCAUGUGGCAGACGUGCCUCAGAAAUGGCAUGGCACCUGGGAAUUGUGGCUCUGUCAGGCAACCGUUUCCAAGGCACUCAGCACUGAUGAGGUUGGUUUUACAAUUCUUUGGUCCUAGAACCUGGGAAAACCAGUGCCCCCGUUCUUUGUCCUCACAUCCAGACAAGACUGCCACCUGCUGGCCACACUAAAGAAGUGCACCUCAGUGCCAUCCAUACACAGCUUUGCUUCCUUUUCCAGCAGAGUUGGGGUAUGAAUAAGUUGGGCAAAUCGCACUGUUGUAAGGAAAAGACCAGUGCCAGGCAACUUCCUGACCAAUUACAUCCUGUUCUUUGAUCCCUGUACAUUCCGCCACCUCUUUUACCAAAUCCUGUUCAAAGCCCAAAGUUGAAACAUUAAAAAUAUAUUUUAUGCAGUAUUUUGUUUAAAAAAGCCAGGCAAGGGACUUACCUGGUGGCGCAGUGGUUAAGACUCCGCCUGCCAAAGCAGGAGACGCGGGUUCGAGCCCUGGUCCGGGAAGAUCCCACAUGCCGCGGAGCAACUAAGCCCGUGCACCACAACUACUGAGCCUGCGCUCUAGAGCCAGCCAGCUACAACUACGGAGCCCGUGUGCCACAACUACUGAAGCCCGCGCUCCUAGAGCCCGUGCUCCACAACAAAGAGAAGCCACCGCAGUGAGAAGCCCGCGCACCGCAUCGAAGAGUAGCCCCCGCUCGCUGCAACUAGAGAAAGCCCGGGCGCAGCAAUGAAGACCCAACGCAGCCAAAAUAAAUAAAUAAGUAAAUAAAUAAAUUUAUUAAAAAGAAAAAAAAGCCAAGCAACAUAGUGUUACGUGCUAUGGUGCUAUACCUGUUGCUGAAUCAAUAAUUACCAAGGUGUGUCUCCCAUUGGUAUCCGCCCUUCUGGGCCGGUCUCGCCAAGCCCAACCAGCCCUGUCACCCGAGCGGCACACCCCACACCAGGUGCAGCGUGGGGUGAGGGGAGACAGUAUCAGGCCCUGGCGGACACAGUGUUUAGGGCCAGACCAACUGGGCAAUUAGAAACAAGUUUUUCCCAAGGACUUUCUAUUUUUAAAAAAACUCUGGAAGACUGUAUAAUAAAACUUAUAAAUGCUAAGUAAA
Molecule: long non-coding RNA, 1889 nt
Organism: Balaenoptera ricei (Rice's whale)
Lineage: Eukaryota; Metazoa; Chordata; Mammalia; Artiodactyla; Balaenopteridae
Exons: 2
Source: RefSeq, a predicted model, not a curated record